GAAAUGCGAUAAGUAAUGCGAAUUGCAGAAUUCAGUGAGUCAUCGAAUCUUUGAACGCAUAUUGCGCCCUUUGGUAUUCCGAAGGGCAUGCCUGUUCGAGCGUCAUUAUCAACCAUCAAGCCUGGCUUGUCGUUGGACUAUUUUUGCGGCUGAAAUAUGCGGCAAGUCCGAAAAAUAAUGACAGUGUCGUGUUUGACCCUAAAUGCAACGAGCUUUUCAUAGCACGCAUUGAAGUGGUUGACCGACCCCUCGGUCUUAAUCUAUACAUUUUUCUAAGGUUGACCUCGGAUCAGGUAGGAAUACCCGCUGAACUUAA
Molecule: unclassified non-coding RNA, 316 nt
Filed under: uncultured fungus
Lineage: Eukaryota; Fungi
Description: sequence contains ITS1
Rfam family: 5.8S ribosomal RNA (bases 1-105)
Source: RNAcentral